RNAcentral lists this ribosomal RNA (350 nucleotides) under uncultured bacterium. RNAcentral's name for it is "bacterial SSU rRNA". It matches the Rfam family "Bacterial small subunit ribosomal RNA", at positions 355 to 697 of the family's 1533-position model. The record is from RNAcentral.
UGGGGAAUAUUGCACAAUGGGGGAAACCCUGAUGCAGCCAUGCCGCGUGUGUGAAGAAGGCCUUCGGGUUGUAAAGCACUUUCAGACGUGAGGAAAGGUUAGUAGUUAAUACCUGCUAGCUGUGACGUUAGCGUCAGAAGAAGCACCGGCUAACUCCGUGCCAGCAGCCGCGGUAAUACGGAGGGUGCAAGCGUUAAUCGGAAUUACUGGGCGUAAAGCGCACGCAGGCGGAUUGUUAAGCUAGAGGUGAAAGCCCCGCGCUCAACGUGGGAAUUGCCUUUAGAACUGGCAGUCUAGAGUCUUGGAGAGGGGAGUGGAAUUCCAGGUGUAGCGGUGAAAUGCGUAGAGAU